RNAcentral lists this long non-coding RNA (3154 nucleotides) under Sus scrofa (pig). Its description in RNAcentral is "lncRNA (ENSSSCG00035067547.1)". Lineage: Eukaryota; Metazoa; Chordata; Mammalia; Artiodactyla; Suidae. The record is from RNAcentral.
UUUUUAUUUUUUUUCCAUUAUAGUGGGUUUACAGUGUUCUGUCAAUUUUCUACUGUACACCCCUCCAAUUUCCCUCCAGUGUCUCUGACUGGUGGAACUCAGUCUAAAGCCCGUUGACCCAUGAACCUGGGCAGGGGAAGAAAGAGGAAAUAGACUUGGCAGAAAACUGACCAAGGAUUAACCCUUGGCUACAAGAAUGAAAUGAGUGUUGCUGUUGAAAGCCACUGAGCUUUGGGGUCUAUAUAACAGCAAAAGCUAACUGAUAUGGACCUUCACAAACACCACCAAGUAGGUAAAUAAGCGGACAGAAAAGUGAGAGAAGGAGUUCCCGUCAUGGUGCUAUGGGAAUGAAUCCGACUAGGAACCAUGAGGUUGCGGGUUCGAUCCCUGCCCUUGCUCAGUGGGUUAACGAUCCAGCGUUGCCGUGAGCUGUGGUGUAGGUCGCAGACGCGGCUUGGAUCCCGCGUUGCUGUGGCUCUGGCGUAGGCUGGUGGCUACAGCUCCGAUUUGACCCCUAGCCUGGGAACCUCCAUAUGCCACGGGAGCGGCCCAAAUGGCAAAAAGACCAAAAAAUAAAUAAAUAAAUAAAAAUAAAGGCAUUAGUUUAAAAAAAAAAAAAGCAUUUAUCCAAUUAAAUAGAGCCUCCAUAGAACUGGCUUCAAAAACUUUUUUAAAAGUCUUCAGUGGCAAAUGCAGUCACAGCAGUUAGUGGCUUUCUAGCUGUUCUGACCUGCAGUUUAGAAAUACGUUUAUAUCAGAGUACAUACAUACCUACACAUACUUAUAUAACUGAAACAAAAGUUUCAUAAAGUGGCACUUGACCCUUACCCCUGGUUAUUCUUGUAUGCAAUGGACCCUGUACUUUCUUUUCUAUUCUUAUGUUCUGGUCUAUUCUCUUCCCCUCCAUUAAAAAAAAAAAAAAAAAAGUGGGUCUGGACACACUAAAUGGACUCCAUGACCCAAUAAUGGGUUGCAACCCACACUGAAAAACACUGGCCUAAAGAACAUUCUGGAAGUCAACCAAAGGUCACAUGCUAUUUCUUUCUUUAAAAAAAAAAAUCCAUUGCUGAUAAGGCCACUCCAGCUUCACUUUUUAAUGAGAAGAGGAAAAAAAAAAAAGACACAGCUCCAGGGCCAUGCAUGUAGUUAAGCAUAAAAAUAUUUGUUAAAUUUAAGAAGCCACUAGGAAUUUCUGUGUGGCCCAGCAAGUUAAGAAUCUGGCAUUAACAAGGCAGUGACUCGGUUGCUGCUGUUGCACAGGUUUGAUCCCUGGCCUGGGAACUUCCACGUGUCACGGGCAUGGCCAAAAAAAAACAUAUGUAUGUAUUUCUGUGUUAUGGGUAAAGUAACAGAAAGGAACAGAGAGGCCAAGACUUAAAGAAGACAAAGGAGAAUUCCAAUAAUGGACAUACGUCUAGGUAACAUGCCCAAUUUUUUGAGCAAGACACUGCCAGAGGUUUUGCUUCCUUAAUCACCGGAGAUGCUUUGAUUCACUGGCCUAAGGCCAAGAAGCAAAAGAUAAAAAGUCCCAUCCCAAAAGGGCAGAAGAGUUCAACAGGGCUUGGUAAUUUACCUUAUUUCAAAAGACUGAAAUAAACUAUACCUUUUAAAAUGAGGGAAUAAUUGCCUGCAAAAUCAAGGACUCCAGUUUAAAUCAAUCCAGAAUGGCUAUAGCACAGAUCGCAUCAAAGAACAAAAUGUAGCCAAACAAAAUGAGCAUCAGAGUAGAUAACCUUGCAUAAUGGAAUCAUUAUUAAAUAAUAUCCCUCAAGAUCCUCUCCUGAGACCCCUCUUCCUUCAACAGAUAAUGAUGCUGACAGCUAUAACGGAAUAGGCUAUCGUUAAUAAAAAUAGCUCUCAUUUCUCAAGAGCCCACUUAGGGCCAGGCACUGUGCUAGGUACUUACUAUACCUUAUCACUACUCUCAUAACAAGCUUGCAUGGGAGCUGUUAUUGCCAUCUUACACAAGAGAAAACUGAGGUCCAUAAGGAGGAAGGCAGAAGUCUCAAUCAGAGAGUGGAAGAGGUAUGGGUAUGAGAGAGGAAGGGUCCUGGGAACAUGCUUAUGGUUCCACGGGAAGGGCAGGAAGAACCAAAAAAAUUUGGGAUACUUGGAGUAUCAUCAGUGGUCAAAUGCAUUUCUUGGCAAUUUGGAGGACAUUUUUUUUCUUUUGGCCAUGCCUGCAGCAUGCAGAAGGAAGUUCUGGAGCCAGAGAUCAAACCCACACCAUAGCAGUGACCCAAGCCACGGCAGUGACAAUGCCAGAUCCUUAACCUGCUAGGCCACCAGGGAACUCCUGGAGGAUACCUUUUAAAUGCACAGAAUUUCUUCUAACAUGUGAUGAACUGCUUUAUACAACUUUUCUCUAUCUAACUCUAGGGACAUUUUCCAAUUCUGAGUUUACAGUGAGAAAGAAACUAUGUUUGAAAUAACUAGAAGUGCUCAUAAAAAAUUAAAAUAUGACCAGCUGAUAGACUGUUCUGUAACAUCAAGGAGGCUCCAAACUCAGUGCUCUUUCCACUGCUUUAUUUGGAAACACUGGGAUGAUAAAGUGGGUUGUUUGAUGCCUGCUUCUGAGGCUGUGCCAUAGAAGGCUCCAACUUCCAGAGUACCUACGCCCCAGCUGGUGGUUUGGGACCAACAUGGUAUAUUUGGUCAUAAACAGGAACAGCAGGUGUCUGCCCCGUUCAGCAUGGGGAAGCAGCUCAGAAUCCUGCAGAGACUGCAGACACCUGAGUCUAUGCAGUAGAAGGUAUGAGGACAUGAGAGCUCUAGAGAUCCUCUUCAAUUUUCAAGAUCUUAGUAAACAAGAAAAAUAAAUACUAUAUAUGUAUACCAUAGAAAACAUUUUUUUUUCUUUAGGGAAAAAAAUGAUUAUAUGCAGUUUUUAAGUCAAAAGUUAAGAAAAUGGAAACGUGACCUCUCAAAAGCAGAAACUCAAUCUCGAUGGUUACAUCAAAAAAGAGAAAUGAACUGUUGCUGAAAUUGGAGGCAGAAGAUUCCCCACCCUGGUCACAUCCUCUGUCAAACGCACAAGCCUUGGAAAGUGUUAGAAACUGAGCCCACCCACUUCCAAGGAAUUCAACACCACUGCAGCAUUCUUCUCCAAACUGAAAUUAAGCUCUCGGAUGACUACACUAAACAGACACUGUAC